Molecule: long non-coding RNA, 953 nt
Organism: Ornithorhynchus anatinus (platypus)
Lineage: Eukaryota; Metazoa; Chordata; Mammalia; Monotremata; Ornithorhynchidae
Exons: 4
Source: RefSeq, a predicted model, not a curated record
UUUAUCUUCAUCAGCACUAGAUAGAAAAUUUUUCUGCCUUUCCUCCCGCCCCUCAAAUUUGACUCCUGUAAUUUCCUUUUUCUUUUGGUUUCUCUGGUCUACAGUAACCUUCCUUCAUUCUUCUGUCCUGCAAAUGGUAGCAAGAGGUCAGACAUUCCCAAGCCAUAAAGUUCUAACCACAAAAAAGACAGAAAACUUUUUCUGGUAAAAACUUCAGAAACAAUGCCUUGUAGUUUCAUCUGAACUAAGGAACCUCAAAAGUUGGGAAGACUAAUCAGGAAUCAGUUCAGGUGGUUGUGAACCUGACUUGAGUGUGGACCAAGUGUUGAGGUUUGCUCCCUGUCCUGUUUUCAACAUCCUGUCCCAGUGGUCCAGGAGUCUUGUCUAUUGUCUGCCAAGGAGCUCUGCAGCAAACACAGGAUUGCGGGACUCCAGCUUCUCCUAUCCCCCAAGGCAUCAAUCCCAUCCCUUCCUCUGUUUCUGGCCCUUCUAUAUUAUUUCUGGGCAUGCUAUGCUUCCAGUGGAUGAUUUUGCCUCCCUAGUAGCAUAUAGUAAUCUGUUGCCCAUGGGGAGAUUGGCCCACAAAUUUUUAACUAGAUAAUUUAACCUUUAAAUAUUAAAUUAUUUUUUCAGGCAUAUUCCCUUUUUUCCUAUGGCAUUCUAAGGUGUUAUAGGAAUUCAAUAUUCUAUGAACAAAAAAAAUAUGGAAACUGAAAAAGAACAAAAAUCAUUCACAUUAUUACAGUGUAGUAUACAUAUGUCAUAUGUCUUAGGUAAUGUUAUGAUCACUUGUUUAGAUUUUUGAUUGGUAAUGUACUGCACACCUGUUGUUUCUUUGUGUACUCAGUUUCCUCAUUAAACAAUAAAAAACACCCUGUGAUUGCUUGUUUCUAGUUCCAAUAUUUGUUAGCCAUCACUGAAAAAGUAGCAGAAGAUAAUCAUUGCACGACACU